Molecule: ribosomal RNA, 3702 nt
Filed under: Triticum aestivum (bread wheat)
Lineage: Eukaryota; Viridiplantae; Streptophyta; Magnoliopsida; Poales; Poaceae
Description: partial small subunit ribosomal RNA
Source: RNAcentral
GGACUCUGGACUUGUACCGGCCGAGUAUACAACGGAAACGAGGAGCGAUAGGUUUCGAACAAGGAUAGUGGAGGCCGCUGUGUGGUUUCGGGUGAAACGGUUCGCUUGAUCGAUUAGAUUCUUCUUCAUGGGUUCCUUCCGCUCUAGCUCUACCGAUCGAUACCCCGGAGUGAGCCGAGGCAGUGCUGGAAGUAGGACGGCUUCUAGACCACCCGUACGAAAACCGUUUUCGGUCUAGAAGCUCUACGUCAGCUAAGGAACUUCGACGUCGUAUUCGUAUAGGACCCCUUCUAAGCUCUUAUGGCGCGGUAUUCGCUUGCAAAGUCGCUAUAACCCCCUUGGGACCUACUCGUAUAACGUCUAGACUCUGCGUACCGUUUACUUUACCUCCUGACGUAUCUGUCGACGGUAUAGCGCCUCCGCUGUUCUUGCGCACGUCUCGAAGAAUCUUUCUAAGGAGCAGAGUUCCUUUCUAGGCUUUUUGACCUUCACCUAAUAUUCCCAGGUCCCUUUAGGUGGCCUCCCCUUUGUUGCUGGAGUUCUUUUCUUCGUUCAUUACCUCGAAGACCUGUACCCGUUAGUAUAAGACCUCCACCGAAGGCUCAACAUUUUGGCAGGACACGACUAGGCCACCUGUACCUGCCAGGUUAGUUCCUUGAAGACCUGGACCACUUCUUUAGCCUAUCGUUUGGCCUUUCAUUCGUCGAGUUCCACUAGAGGUAGAGACCGAAGCCACCGAACCCAUUCUGAGAGGAACGGCUGUUUCAAAUGAAGGUACUUCUACACACGCGCGUCAAGUCCCACGCGCGAACGCAGCUCCGGCGCCCUUUCUCGGUACUGGUUCAAGAGCUCCUCUAUGAGUUCGUUCAUGGGCCCUGAUCACGAUUACUACUUCUCUAUGGUGUUUUACCGCUCGUUUCACACUUGCUGUUCCCGUUCUUUCAGGUCUAACUACCUCACUGUGCUGUUUUACCGCUCGGACCAGUACCAGUUCGGUGUGUUGGUUCAUGAUCGCUUGCAGAGUCUAGUAGGGAGUUCUUACUUGCUUCCUCAUCAGAACACCAACACCCUCGCCGGUGCUGUGACACCGACAUCUCGUCUUACCUAGAUGAGGCAGGCAUGGUAUUAUAUUCUGUACAUACGUCAAGUUUACGAGGUCUCCAUCAUGCAUGAAUAGACAAGGAUUUAAACAGAGAAUGUCCAAAAACUAAUAUUAACACCUGUAGGUUCUCUUAUCCCCGCUUUAUCGCUAUCGUAGACAAAAUUUCCCAGAACCACUACACGUGUCGUCCCAAUAGCAGUGCUGUUGGUAAGUCUCGUAUCGUUGUUCGACCCGUAGAGGUUUGUUGGUAAACAUAGGAUACUCAUGUGAAUUAUUUCAGGUGACCCUUCUCGACAAGAAGUCUCUUAAACUACUUCCCUUUACGUUUUUCGGUAGCCUCUACCCCGUCAAUUCAAGUGACUUCAGUGAAGACCUCUUUACACUGCCGGAAGGAGAACGAGACUAGUCGUGACGUUUUCAAAACUCACCUUGACUUGACCUGUUAUUUCGUACAUGUCUUCGGACCUUCUUCGAAACACUGUAUUUUGUACUGCUUUGUUCGUGCAAUGUCUUUUACGUUGCCCACGAUCGGUCGUGGACGCGACCAGAUAGACCGUGAUUGCAUGGAGGAUGGGAGUAACUAACGAACGAGAUAAAGUCGUACAAGGGUGGUUUAGUAGUACAGUCCUUCUUAAGAGAUUAUUCCGCUACCGACCGACUUCCUUACUUUGUGUUACAACUGUCCUUCCUUAAAUUAAAUCUUCUCGUGUAACUCACUGAGUAGCUGGCUUCAUAGUAAGUCGGGUACCUUCACUCGUGCGCCCCACUGCACUUCCCUACGUUUCGAAGAUCAGAUUACAUGCUCAUGUAAAAGGUGUCUAGAUUCAGACUCCUUAAGUACCGUCACGAGAGACUACACUACCUGUUACCCAAACUUGCUUUCCCUAUACAGGCGGCCGAAAGAUAGGUACGAUGUCUUUGACCCUAACGUCUUCUCUCUAACGGGCUACUAAAUAGGGUAGAGGUAUGAGACCGCCAUAAGCCGUGACUCUUCGGUCUUCAAUGCUUCCUAGAACGGUUACCAAACAAACCCUUGUUUCCCCAAGAACGGUUCAUAUUUUAUGAAGCCCACAACCUAAACUUUCUUACACGGCCAUACUUUCCUUUUGUAGAAGUUUGAUAUACACUGGACAACGACGACUUUAUAGACUCGGAGCCCCUGUCAUAACAAGCCCAAGGUUCCUUUUAUCGCGUCGAAUUUGACAACCUUUGUGAGCUAGAUUCGUCUUGGUUACAUCACUGUCACAUGUACGUUCAGAACCCCGAGGGGUCAAAUUGCGUGGAAGAACCCUUUCAAGCCAACAGGUUUACCCUGACGUAUAAGUCUUACCUUUUCGACUUUUCCAAGCACUCCUUAUUUACAUUCAACCUAUGGGAACCUCCUAAGUGGUGGCCGUUCUCGCUUCGUAAAGGCGUUGACUAUCCAGUAUACGCCGUUAACUUAUUCCACUUUUAUACCUAGGUAGGGCGGCGACUAUGGUCUUUGAACCUUGUAGAUUGUCUUCCGUAGUUCCUUAAGUAAUCUUUUUCGUCCAAGCUUUCGUUACAACCAGCGAGUGAUAGUCAACUGAAGAGUCUUACGCAUGUACUUGUACGUCUUGCUAGGAACCUAAAGGAAUUUGUUUUACACUUGUAAGGUCUGUUAUUAUGGGUUCCCCGAGUUUAAUGUGUACUUCCUCUACGUUUAGUUACAGAGCCUUCGUUACGACCGUCAUGCUCGUUAGUUUAGUACUUAUAGUUUUUGUUAUAGGUUCUCGUCGUCUGUCUUCUUUAUGUUCUCGGGUUUGUUCCACGGGGGAGACUGAGACUCCUACGGACAAGGUCUUUACUUUGACUCUACUACGUUUUGGUAGUCUUAUAGGCUCUUCCUAUACUGUUUACGGGGUUGUUCGAAAGGAGCGAGUUUGAAACACCGUUCGACUGUUUUAAGGGAGAAGUUAAACAGUGUCUCUAACGACCAUAACUCUCCAACACGGAAAGUAGAUGUCCAGACAGACCCCUCUUAUAACGUAUGCGAGAUUCACUUAACGGGCUGGACAAAAUAGAUUUCGACGCACUUCUACUGAAUUCAGAGGAGCUGGACGUUUUAUUCGUUAAAGGCUCGGAGGCCGCGUAAACGAAAAGACACUUUCUACCAUUAGACGGCGCGGGUUGUUAGUAGUUUGUGAAGGUAUUAGAAGCGCUUCACAUAGACAUACGAUUAGACUUAAUACUUCUUUCCGCGUCGACCUUUCGUCGAAGUCUCUCAGUAGGACUUUCCGGUUCCCAAAUAAAGCGGCUUUCGUGUACGUUCCCUUGAAGAAGGCUCCGACACUGGGUUUCGGUCAUUACUUGUAGGAGGCGAAGUGCGUUCUCUACUCCGUUUUGACACACGGUGGUUGUACUUCUUAUAAAAGUCAAACUACGCGGCUACGUGGUUUUACUGUGAAGUCAAGUAUAAAUGAGAAGUUCAAAGAGAGGAUUUCAAACAACGACCAGUAUAAUUCGUACCAGUACAACAACGUAAAUGGAAUAGGUUUAACGCAUACGUAAACAAUAACAACAUACAGAAAGGAUUAGGCUUAAGCACCCUUCUAACAUGUAAGUGAGGGAUUCGGUUG